RNAcentral lists this ribosomal RNA (440 nucleotides) under uncultured bacterium. RNAcentral describes it as "partial 16S ribosomal RNA". It matches the Rfam family "Bacterial small subunit ribosomal RNA", at positions 338 to 795 of the family's 1533-position model. The record is from RNAcentral.
ACUACGGGUGGCAGCAGUGGGGAAUAUUGCACAAUGGGGGAAACCCUGAUGCAGCGACGCCGCGUGAGUGAAGAAGUAAUUCGUUAUGUAAAGCUCUAUCAGCAGGGAAGAAAAUGACGGUACCUGAGUAAGAAGCCCCGGCGAAAUACGUGCCCGCAGCCGCGGUAAUACGGGGGGGGCAAGCGGUAUCCGGAUUUACGGGGUGUAAAGGGAGCGUAGACGGCAGUGCAAGGCUGGAGUGAAAGGCGGGGGCUCAACCCUCGGACUGCUCUUGAAACUGUACGGCUGGAGUGCAGGAGAGGUAAGUGGAAUUCCUGGUGUAGCGGUGAAAUGCGUAGAUAUUAGGAGGAACACCAGUGGCGAAGGCGGCUUACUGGACUGUAACUGACGUUGAGGCUCGAAAGCGUGGGGAGCAAACAGGAUUAGAUACCCCAGUAGUC